This 312-nucleotide ribosomal RNA is filed under the name Triticum aestivum (bread wheat). RNAcentral's name for it is "partial small subunit ribosomal RNA". Lineage: Eukaryota; Viridiplantae; Streptophyta; Magnoliopsida; Poales; Poaceae. The record is from RNAcentral.
AUGUCGUCUUCCUCUUCCUCCGGCGCCUCCCAGGCUGGCCCCAACGGCCAAGUCACGGAGAGGCUCUCCCGCACCAACUAUGUCCUCUGGCGCGCGCAGAUCAUGCCGCAGCUGAGGGGCGCGGGUGUCUUCGGCUAUGUCGACGGCACGACACCGGAGCCGGCCAGGAUCCUCCACACCAAGGACAAAGAUGGGAAGGAAUCAACUGAGCCGAAUCCCCUCCACUCCAUCUGGGUGCGAGAGGACCAGCAGGUGCUCGGGUACCUGCUGAACAACCUCACCAAGGAGGUGCUCGUGUAGGUGACCGCAAUC